Molecule: ribosomal RNA, 479 nt
Filed under: uncultured bacterium
Lineage: Bacteria
Description: bacterial SSU rRNA
Rfam family: Bacterial small subunit ribosomal RNA
Source: RNAcentral
UUGAACGCUGGCGGCAUGCCUUACACAUGCAAGUCGAACGGCAGCACGGGAGCAAUCCUGGUGGCGAGUGGCGAACGGGUGAGUAAUGUAUCGGAACGUACCUUUCAGUGGGGGAUAACGUAGCGAAAGUUACGCUAAUACCGCAUAUUCUGUGAGCAGGAAAGCAGGGGAUCGCAAGACCUUGCGCUGAUUGAGCGGCCGAUAUCAGAUUAGCUAGUUGGUGAGGUAAAGGCUCACCAAGGCUACGAUGGGUAGCUGGCGUGAGAGCGCGACCAGCCACACUGGAACUGAGACACGGUCCAGACUCCUACGGGAGGCAGCAGUAGGGAAUAUUGGACAAUGGAGGCAACUCUGAUCCAGCCAUGCCGCGUGGAGGAUGACUGCCCUCUGGGUUGUAAACUCCUUUUGUACAGGAAGAAACCUCCUCAUUUAUGAGUGAGCUGACGGUACUGUAAGAAUAAGCACCGGCUAACUCCGUG